Molecule: ribosomal RNA, 535 nt
Filed under: uncultured bacterium
Lineage: Bacteria
Description: bacterial SSU rRNA
Rfam family: Bacterial small subunit ribosomal RNA
Source: RNAcentral
AAUAGAUACCCGGGUAGUCCACGCCGUAAACGGUGGGCACUAGGUGUGGGCGACAUUCCACGUCGUCCGUGCCGCAGCUAACGCAUUAAGUGCCCCGCCUGGGGAGUACGGCCGCAAGGCUAAAACUCAAAGGAAUUGACGGAGGCCCGCACAAGCGGCGGAGCAUGUGGCUUAAUUCGACGCAACGCGAAGAACCUUACCAAGGCUUGACAUACACCGGAAACGUCCAGAGAUGGGCGCCCCCUUGUGGUCGGUGUACAGGUGGUGCAUGGCUGUCGUCAGCUCGUGUCGUGAGAUGUUGGGUUAAGUCCCGCAACGAGCGCAACCCUUGUCCCGUGUUGCCAGCAGGCCCUUGUGGUGCUGGGGACUCACGGGAGACCGCCGGGGUCAACUCGGAGGAAGGUGGGGACGACGUCAAGUCAUCAUGCCCCUUAUGUCUUGGGCUGCACACGUGCUACAAUGGCCGGUACAAUGAGCUGCGAUACCGCGAGGUGGAGCGAAUCUCAAAAACGCCGGUCUCAGUUCGGAUUGGGGU